Molecule: ribosomal RNA, 252 nt
Filed under: uncultured bacterium
Lineage: Bacteria
Description: partial 16S ribosomal RNA
Rfam family: Bacterial small subunit ribosomal RNA
Source: RNAcentral
UCGGAAUUACUGGGCGUAAAAGCGCAUGCAGGUGGUUUGUUAAGUCAGAUGUGAAAGCCCGGGGCUCAACCUCGGAAUUGCAUUUGAAAACUGGCAAAACUAGAGUACUGUAGAGGGGGUAGAAUUUCAGGUGUAGCGGUGAAAAUGCGUAGAGAUCUGAAGGAAUACCGGUGGCGAAGGCGGCCCCCUGGACAGAUACUGACACUCAGAUGCGAAAGCGUGGGGAGCAAACAGGAUUAGAUACCCUGGUGG